This 1354-nucleotide ribosomal RNA is filed under the name uncultured bacterium. Its description in RNAcentral is "bacterial SSU rRNA". It matches the Rfam family "Bacterial small subunit ribosomal RNA", at positions 18 to 1392 of the family's 1533-position model. The record is from RNAcentral.
CCUGGCUCAGGUACGAACGCUGGCGGCGCGCCUAACACAUGCAAGUCGAACGAGCGAGAGAGAGCUUGCUUUCUCGAGCGAGUGGCGAACGGGUGAGUAACGCGUGAGGAACCUGCCUCAAAGAGGGGGACAACAGUUGGAAACGACUGCUAAUACCGCAUAAGCCCACGGCUCGGCAUCGAGCAGAGGGAAAAGGAGCAAUCCGCUUUGAGAUGGCCUCGCGUCCGAUUAGCUAGUUGGUGAGGUAAUGGCCCACCAAGGCGACGAUCGGUAGCCGGACUGAGAGGUUGAACGGCCACAUUAGGACUGAGACACGGCCCAGACUCCUACGGGAGGCAGCAGUGGGGGAUAUUGCACAAUGGGGGAAACCCUGAUGCAGCGACGCCGCGUGGAGGAAGAAGGUCUUCGGAUUGUAAACUCCUGUUGUUGAGGAAGAUAAUGACGGUACUCAACAAGGAAGUGACGGCUAACUACGUGCCAGCAGCCGCGGUAAAACGUAGGUCACAAGCGUUGUCCGGAAUUACUGGGUGUAAAGGGAGCGCAGGCGGGAAGACAAGUUGGAAGUGAAAUCCAUGGGCUCAACCCAUGAACUGCUUUCAAAACUGUUUUUCUUGAGUAGUGCAGAGGUAGGCGGAAUUCCCGGUGUAGCGGUGGAAUGCGUAGAUAUCGGGAGGAACACCAGUGGCGAAGGCGGCCUACUGGGCACCAACUGACGCUGAGGCUCGAAAGUGUGGGUAGCAAACAGGAUUAGAUACCCUGGUAGUCCACACUGUAAACGAUGAUUACUAGGUGUUGGAGGAUUGACCCCUUCAGUGCCGCAGUUAACACAAUAAGUAAUCCACCUGGGGAGUACGACCGCAAGGUUGAAACUCAAAGGAAUUGACGGGGGCCCGCACAAGCAGUGGAGUAUGUGGUUUAAUUCGACGCAACGCGAAGAACCUUACCAAGUCUUGACAUCCUGCGACGCACAUAGAAAUAUGUGUUUCCUUCGGGACGCAGAGACAGGUGGUGCAUGGUUGUCGUCAGCUCGUGUCGUGAGAUGUUGGGUUAAGUCCCGCAACGAGCGCAACCCUUAUGGUCAGUUACUACGCAAGAGGACUCUGGCCAGACUGCCGUUGACAAAACGGAGGAAGGUGGGGAUGACGUCAAAUCAUCAUGCCCUUUAUGACUUGGGCUACACACGUACUACAAUGGCGUUAAACAAAGAGAAGCAAGACCGCGAGGUGGAGCAAAACUCAGAAACAACGUCCCAGUUCGGACUGCAGGCUGCAACUCGCCUGCACGAAGUCGGAAUUGCUAGUAAUCGCAGAUCAGCAUGCUGCGGUGAAUACGUUCCCGGGCCUUGUACACACCG